UCGACAUCGAUCCGAGGCGGGUCGAGUUCAACAUAAUCUCCGGCACCUCCAUGGCGUGCCCCCAUGUUAGCGGCAUCGCCGCCCUGCUCCGCCGUGCCUAUCCAGAUUGGAGCCCAGCUGCCAUCAAAUCCGCCCUGAUGACCACGGCCUACAACUCAGACGACUCCGGCGAGACCAUCAAGGACUUGGCAACCGAAGCGGAGUCCACACCUUUCGUUCGCGGUGCCGGCCACGUGGAUCCGAACCGCGCGCUCGACCCCGGUCUAGUGUACGACUCGAACGUCGACGACUACCUCGCCUUCCUCUGCGCGAU
This 313-nucleotide long non-coding RNA is filed under the name Musa acuminata (dwarf banana). Its description in RNAcentral is "long non-coding RNA (MACU_LNC003024)". The record is from RNAcentral. Lineage: Eukaryota; Viridiplantae; Streptophyta; Magnoliopsida; Zingiberales; Musaceae.